Molecule: long non-coding RNA, 1858 nt
Filed under: Daphnia magna
Lineage: Eukaryota; Metazoa; Arthropoda; Branchiopoda; Diplostraca; Daphniidae
Description: uncharacterized LOC116935043, transcript variant X1
Source: RNAcentral
GUCACGUAAUGGGCUAGCUCCAGAGAUGAAGGGCCCAUCUUCUCUGGGUAGCUCUGGUUGAUUUUACUACAUUUUACUAUUGUAACUGAGUUGAAAGCUCCAAGAUGGGAUGAAGAUAUUUCGUAGGUUGAGAGAAAGAAUUCUUCAACUAGACGGAUAAUGGCUGUGAUCGCCGAAAGGACGGCUGGACAUGGGUUCGCCACCGAAGAAUUGAGAUGGUCGACAAGAAAUUUACAAGAGGAUUCCUCAACCACCGAAGACUGCCCGCCGAAGAUUCGUCAUCAAAGUCGCGAACGGAGAUUUAUCCGCCCUCGAAGAAUUUCCAUUGGACAUCGUCUGUAACCGAUGGAGAAGUUUGGAGAGGAUUAUCGGACCUUAUGGAGGAUUCAAGCACCCCAAGAUGCCAAUGAUCGCUAAUUGUGACACCAGGAAAAUUUCUGUUAAAACUGGAGAUGGUCCAACCAGUAUUGAAAAAAGCUAGCCUGGGCAUUAGGGAUCAUCACUGGAGUUGCAGGAGUUUGCCAUGUAGGAGAUGAGUCACCAGCAAGAAUGGGCGUCUGUUAAGGAUGGAUGUCGCCGGACAACGGGAAUUGGCAGUAUCACACAAAAAAUAAGGUAUAAACGAUAUAUUGCACAUGUAUAACGACAUUUUUUUAUGUUAAGAAGGAUUUUCGGAGCUUUUGGAGGAUCUAAACACCCUGAGGAUCCCAAGAAUUGCUGACGGUGACCAGGUUAAAUUAUAUUAAAACGGGGGAAGUCUCACCCAGUAUUGAAAAUAACAAAACAAUGCUGGGCAUUGGGAGUUACCGUUGGAGACCGUCAUCUAGGGUUAUGAUCUUUCAACGAGAGUUGACGCCAGACAACCGAGAGUCGACGCCAGACAACCGAGAGUCGACGCCAGACAACCGAGAGUCGACGCCAGACAACCGAGAGUCGACGCCAGACAACCGAGAGUCGACGCCAGACAACCGAGAGUCGACGCCAGAGAAGACACUGAAGAAAUCAAGAUGAUGGUAGAUUUACUGCUUUUGGGUCAGUGACAGUGAGUGAAGAAGGAGUAGGCUACCGCGCUACCCCGCUGUUAACCUGUUAAUCCCUUUUGGUAAAUAAAAUGAAGUUUGUAAACAUCUUGUAAAUCUGUUUUCAACAUAGUCUCAAUGCAUGUCACGUCAAAUUCAACUUUGUGUAAAGACUUACCAGAAUAACAGUGACAUAGAAUGAAAUAGGAAUUGGGGAUCAUAAAAUUGGAGGGGAAAUUGUUGAACAUUUGUUUUUACAUCAUUGACGUUAUGUAUGUACCAGGAGGGAAAUACAGUUUUGCUAGCCACCUGGACUAGUGCACUUUUGCCUCAGCCCACUUGCCUUACAGAACAAGCAAUUGGAAUCUUCCAUUCUGCAUAUUGUGCAUAAUGGAAUGUUCGUCAUUGAUGUUCAACAUGCUGAGGUCUUAUUACAUCUAGUGCAACAUCAAUAAGAAAAGGUUAGUUCAGCGUGCCAUGACAAUUCCAUUUUUUUGAGUUGACCAACUUGCCAAUUAUGUUAUAUUCGUUAUGUGUUAUAUGCGUUAUAUGCCAGCACGUCAUAUUCGUUAUCCACGCAGGUGUUUUUAUUAAUGAAAACUUUAGAAUUAGAAGUUCUGUGCUAAUCGGGUGGAUGUUUCUCGAUUGGUGAAACAUGUUGGUUGUCGUGUGCCAUUUGUUGUUUAUGUACAAACUGUUUUUGUGAAUAUUAUGAUUGGUUGGUUUUGUUUGUUUAUGUAUGUUCGUUUGUAAAUGACGUCAAAAAUUUUUUCCUAAUUGAGGAACGAUGAAAGUUAAGGUUAGGAAAAGAAUGAAAUACAUUUACCAGAUGAAAUUAG